AUGGUCAAUUACGUGCUUUCUUUCUGCAAAAUCACCGGGGCGAGUAAAAUAUUCACUCGGAACUUUUAUUUGCCUUUGCUUAAGCCUUUGACCCCGAAGGACGCGUUGCGCACCCUCAGGAUCACCGGGAAAUGGCUGCUGGGCGCCAAAUAUCAGCACUACAUCCCUGUGCUGCGCAAUCAUCGCUUCAAAACUAAAUCGAAAGCUAAAAAGCACAAAACAAUGGACGAUUUCACUUAUAUGACCCCUACCUUCGACCCAGACAAUGAGAACCAAAAAAGACUUAAAAACAUCCUGGACAGCAAACCCAAGUCCCCUGGACUAUACGUUUACACUGUCGAAGACAAAAAAUACAAUAUAGUCUUUGAGGCGGCCUUUGAAUUAGCAGUCCAGGACGGUGACAUCAUAGACGUCCUGGUAUCUCAAAAGAACGACAAAAUCCUAGUGAAAACCAAAGACUUCAAAAAAGUCCCCCUAGAAAUCCAGUACUACGAGCCAAACGGACAACCCCUCUAUAGUGGUCAAGGCACCACCACUAAGGAAGAAGAAAAAUUUCAUCACCAUGGCAAAUACACUAUGGGCCUCGCCAAACUAUUCGAAGACAAAGAAAUGCAAGAAGAAAAGUGGGAGGAGGAAAUGAAAAAAAUUCUGAAAAAGCGCAAGAAGCACAAGUGGGAAGGCACUAAAGCUUUUAAGGAAAUGAUGAAGCAGAUCAUGCGUAAAUUCGACUGGAAAAAGUUCGAAGAAGACGCCAAGAGGGUAAUCGAUGACAUUGACGCUCCGGUCACAGAAACCCCAAUUGCCAUGGAAAUCAAUGACCUGGAAGCUACUAAGCAUGUCAAUGAAACCCUUAGCCAACGCGAAGAGUUGCUCGAUCAACUUCCCACUCUCAAAGACAUACCUGAUAUCAUAAAAAAUCUCGGGCAAGCCACUUUAACUGAUUUGGAAACGGACAGUCGCACCCUCAAAGGGGCCAAAGUCACCCUAGCAUCUGGCAAAGAGUGCUUCAUCAGUGGCCAAAUGGUCCAUACGGAAGACGGGGAUGUAUUUGUGCCAGGCCAAACUAUCCAGAACGAGUUCGGAGCUGAAUAUGCUCCUGGCAUUACCAUCAACAUUGACAGCAAGCCCACUUUGGUCAAUGGAUUGAUUAUGGGAGAUGAACAGAAGGACCCAUUGUUUUUACCAACCCAAUCGACUAUAACCUCUGGCGGCCAGUUAACUUUUGCCACAGCACCAGAGGAACGCCCUGCACCUGAACCUGAAGAACAAAGACAAACUAGACGGAAGAAACUUUUAAGGAUCAUCAGUGUAGUACCAGAAGAGAACGAACAAGAAGAGAUCAAAGAGUGCAUCGAGGACAUCAUGAAGGAAAGCGGCGUAAGUGAUUUUGAGAAUAUCGAGAUUAUUGUGGAAAGUGUCAAUGACCAGAGCUCCUCUUCUGACGAAGAUGACACCGUCAGUAGUGAGGAGCUCAAUCAUGAAGAGUUGGAUAUCGAAGCCAUCCAUCUCAAGCAACGCCAGGAGCUUGAGAAACUAAAAAUGAUUCUUCAAGACGAUGGUAUGAAUGACCUGAUAAGCAGCUUAGAAGAGAAAAAGCUGCUAUUAAAAAAGAAACUGGAGGAGCUUAGGAAACUCAGUAUGAUAUCUGAAAGCAACUUGAUCUCUUACGUGGAUGAUAGUGACGCAAUGGAUGCUGCCACUAAAAUAACUUCUCAGGAUAUCAAGAAACUCUCAGAGGUUUUGAUAGCCAUUACCAGAAGGACAGCUAACUUCAGAGACAGAAAUGGCAUUAGGCUAGAAAACAUUAACCUGGAUGUUAACAUAAAACCCACAGAAUGGGAUGAAAAAUUCAACAAAUCCUCCAUGAAGCUAAAAGUUUUACUUAAGACAGCUUUGGUAGCUGCUAAUGACGUUUAUAAGAACCGUCCGAAAGACCAAGUACUUGCUUUGCAUUCAAUAGUUGAUAUCCUUGAAGAUUCCUUGAAGUCUGACCCUAAGCUGCUUGGAGAACUUUUGAAGCUUUUGGAGACCUCCACGGACCGCUUGGAGGUAUGUGACACGGUUCUUAAGCAGCUUACUCUGGAUAUAUCACAUACAAAAGUGGCGUGUUUAAAGAAUCUAACCCAACCAAACUUAAAUUUGCAAGAUUGCCUUAAGAACUUGGAUAAAAUUAUUGAGGAUGGCAUCAUGAAUACCUCGUUUACAAAAAUUGUAAAACUAUGUCCAGAAAUAAUCCAGGACUUAUCAAAUACCAUUAAAAUACGUAGCAAGGGGGUUAUUGGAGAGGAGGCAGCCAUGGAAAUUCUACAGGACAGCAUAGUGGCCACCACAAGAGCCUUGAUGGAAAGCAACUUUGAAGUACUUCUUUCCAAGAAGGAAAGCACCGUUCUAGAGUUUAUUGAGGAGGCACUGAGCUUUGCUAAAGCUUUAGAUCUGGAGGACGUAGUUGAAAACUUAUCUAAACCAAAAACAGCUCUUAACAAUCUGGAGGAAUGCUCCAUAGAGAUGCUUAAAAGGAUGACCCUCAUAAGACAACUGGCCGAAAAAGACUACUCGCUAAAAACCGCCAUAAGCAGGAUCAAAAAGAACCCGGAGUGUGCCAGAUCGGAUCCCAGAAUCAGACAAUUGAUUAGAGAGAGUGCCAUCGUGAUGUCUGAAAUGGCUCCCCUGAGGAACUCUCGGGACAUCCCGUACGAUAUGAUGAAGAAACAAAAUCUGCUCUCUAUCGAGGACUUUUUGAUGCGAAAAAUGCGCCUGGACGUGCCGGUGCUGGUGUCCAGAGGCACCUACCAAGCGGUUAUUCCGAAGGAAUCGGCUCGGGGCGUAUUGGCAGGUCGCGUCCCUUAUAUCCUGAUCGACGAGUCGGGCGUGACGAAUUUCAAGCCGAUGCACAUGUUAUCCUCAAUAAACGUUAAUAAAAACCGCGAAAAACGAAUCGAGGACUAUCUGAGCGGGGUGCGGGAACGUUCGAAAUCCAUAGACUUGAAUCAGGAGGACUCGCGGACUUAUUUGCAGGCGAAGAGCAAUGUAAGGAGGUUAAGGAAGGUGCUGGGUAACACCAGGAAAACUGCAUGAUCGUGUCGUUUCUUGUAAAUAACAUUUGUAUGUGUUGAAUCUGUGUGGGGGAGAGGGAAGGGGUACGAUCGCAAGUCCCGAUGGGCAGUACGCGGGUACCGCGAGGGGCAGGGCCAUGAGUUCCGGUGCCCUUUUGGGGCACCGACUUUGACAUGCGUGAGGAGGAGCUGGAGGUCGCCCUGAAG
Anthonomus grandis grandis is the source of this 3260-nucleotide RNA transcript. It is a transcript of the gene named putative leucine-rich repeat-containing protein DDB_G0290503, with no coding region annotated. The transcript is spliced from 2 exons. The record is from RefSeq and is a predicted model, not a curated record. NCBI's taxonomy places the organism in Eukaryota, Metazoa, Arthropoda, Insecta, Coleoptera, Curculionidae.